GAACGCUCCGGCUCGCUAGCCUGACUGACCCGGGAAAGGCCCUCAACCCAGGUGUCUGGGGUCCGCGAUGCCAAGACCCUGCGAUUCCACCGCCCCCCCUUGUCGUACUUUUCCUUUACCAGCCUGCGUUGUCCUUUAAAGUGGUUGCCGAGUGUGUUCUCAACACACAGUAAUCCAACGGCGACUGAAGGAGUAGCGUGGUAGGCCAGUGGCGCAAGGGAUAACGUGUCUGACCACGCAUCAGAAGAUUGUAGGUCCAGCUCCUGCCUGGCUCGGCAUUAUUGUCACUUGAGGUUAACAAACCAGAAAUCAUUACCUCCUCUGGCGUCCCCAAACCGCGAAUGCCAGCAGUUUGGAUUUCUGCAGUGUCCGUUGCACUUUGAGCCCGGGAGGCCUUACCAGCGCCACCGGUCCAACUCCCGCGGGGUGAAGGGAAGGCCCCGAGGGUCUCGGAACGCCCCCGGCAGGCAAGCCGGGUUAGGAAGACGCCACUGAAGCCCGGGGUUCUGUAGACAGAGCUGGUUCCACCGCAUCUACUAAGACAUCAGAGUCACUAAGUUCCUAGAGAAAGUCCCCUCACCAACCCCCGGCCCAGCCACAGAACCUAAGAUGACAGAAGGAAGUAUUUCCUCCCCUACAGUUUGUGUAAAGAAAGUUUGUCCUCUUCUAGGUAGGUAACUCCACAAAUAUGGAAUGAAGAUUGACUGCAUUAUUCACCCAAAUGCAAUCCUGAAUUAUAUGCCAAAUCACUACAUCAAAAGAUAUUUAAUGAGACCAAGCCCCAGCCUACCUCCCCUUUGAAGGGGGUUAACAUUUGUACUACUGGGAGAUGGCAAGGCCAACCCAUCUCAUUCCCAGGGCUCUGUAAGUCCUGAAAGCUCACUUGCAGUCUUCCAUGCUCGGGGAAGUGGGAGCAUCAUCUUGCUCAUACAGCAUCUUUCCGAAAGGUAUGAUUGGUGGUGGUGGGAGGGUGUGGCCAGGAGGUUUUCUUCAGAGACUCACAUUUAUUCUUUUAUUUAAAUGUUUAUUUAGUCUGUACUAUGUGCUAGGCAUUGUUCUAGAGCUGAGGAUAAGGAUACAGCAGUAAGCAAAGCAGACAGAAAUCUCUAUCUUGGUGAAGCACACAUUCUGGAAGGGUAAAUAGACAAUAAGAAGACAAUAAAUAAUAUAUACAGUAGGCUGUACAGUAAUGAAUGCCAAAGAGAAAAAUAAAGCACAGUAGAGCAGGAGUGUGGCAGGUGUUGUGCUUCCUAUAAUGGCAAAAUGACACAGAUGACCGGAAGCAAAAUAAAUUGCUUAUGGUAUAUAGACAUCUAUGUAUAUAUACACACAUGCACACACCACACACAUAUAUUCAUACACAUAUAC
Molecule: long non-coding RNA, 1368 nt
Filed under: Homo sapiens (human)
Lineage: Eukaryota; Metazoa; Chordata; Mammalia; Primates; Hominidae
Description: non-protein coding lnc-CRH-7:1
Source: RNAcentral